Molecule: unclassified non-coding RNA, 253 nt
Filed under: uncultured Actinomycetes bacterium
Lineage: Bacteria; Bacillati; Actinomycetota; Actinomycetes
Description: uncultured actinobacterium contains 16S-23S intergenic spacer region
Rfam family: Bacterial small subunit ribosomal RNA
Source: RNAcentral
CACGUAGGGUGCGAGCGUUGUCCGGAAUUAUUGGGCGUAAAGAGCUCGUAGGCGGUUUGUCGCGUCGGAUGUGAAAACCUGUGGCUCAACCACGGGCCUGCAUUCGAUACGGGCAAACUAGAGUGUGGUAGGGGAGACUGGAAUUCCUGGUGUAGCGGUGAAAUGCGCAGAUAUCAGGAGGAACACCGGUGGCGAAGGCGGGUCUCGGGGCCAUUACUGACGCUGAGGAGCGAAAGCGUGGGGAGCGAACAGG